UGACAGCACUUGGAGGAUGUAUAGCGAAAGCUUAUUGUAUUAGCUGGCAUUGGUUAAUACAAUAUCGACUCUGUCGACUAAAAUUCUAGGUAAAAUAAUGAUAAUGACAUUUUUUAUCUAUGUGUCUUGACCAAGUCACGUGCCAGCAGUCGCGGUAAUACGUGGAAGACUAGUGUUAUUCAUCUUUAAUAGGUUUAAAGGGUACCCAGACGGAAUAUUUAGCCCUCAAAGGGUACUAAAUAUUCUAGAGUUUAAUGUGAGAUGGAGUUAAUAGUACUAACGGAGUAGAGAUGAAAUUCGUUAAUACCGGUAGGGAACUGGCAGCGGCGAAAGCAACCCUUUAUGUAAAAACUGACGUUGAAGGACGAAGGCUAGUGUAACCAAAAGGACUAGUUACCCAAGCAGUACUAGCAGACAACGCUGAAUGCCAUAGAUUAGAGAUUAACUUUAUUUCUUCUAUAAAUGAAAGUGUAAGCAUUCCACCUCAAGAGUAAUUUGGCAACAUUGGAAUUGAAAUCAUUAGACCGUUUCUGAAACCAGUAGUGAAGUAUGUUGUAUAACUAGAUGUUACACAAAAAACCUUACCACAAUUUGAAUAUUUUAUAAUUAGACAAGAGUUGCACGGCUGUCUUUAGUUAAUGUCGUGAGAUUGUGGUUAGUUCCAUUAAAUUAACGUAAACCCUUACUUUAUUUUUAUAUAAAGUAGUUCCCCGCUAUAUAGGAUAUGAUAGAAGGGACUAAGGCAAGUCAUCAUGGCCUGAAUAUUGUGGGCUACAGACGUGCCACAUAAGCCUAUACAAAGGGAUGCGAAAUUGCGAAAUGAGC
This 825-nucleotide ribosomal RNA is filed under the name Umbilicaria leprosa. Its description in RNAcentral is "SSU rRNA". It matches the Rfam family "Bacterial small subunit ribosomal RNA", at positions 346 to 1268 of the family's 1533-position model. Lineage: Eukaryota; Fungi; Ascomycota; Lecanoromycetes; Umbilicariales; Umbilicariaceae. The record is from RNAcentral.